Small nuclear RNA from Mustela putorius furo (domestic ferret), 104 nucleotides. The record is from Ensembl. NCBI's taxonomy places the organism in Eukaryota, Metazoa, Chordata, Mammalia, Carnivora, Mustelidae.
GUGCUUACUUUGGUAUCACUUAUACUAAAAUUGGAAUGGUACAGAAAUUAGUAUAGCCCCUGCACAAGGAUGACACGCAAAUUUGUGAAGCAUUACAUAUUUAU